RNAcentral lists this ribosomal RNA (226 nucleotides) under Microascospora fragariae. RNAcentral's name for it is "Sphaeronaemella fragariae partial 18S ribosomal RNA". It matches the Rfam family "Eukaryotic small subunit ribosomal RNA", at positions 1606 to 1830 of the family's 1831-position model. Lineage: Eukaryota; Fungi; Ascomycota; Sordariomycetes; Diaporthales; Melanconiellaceae. The record is from RNAcentral.
AGGAAUCCCUAGUAAGCGCAAGUCAUCAGCNUGCGUUGAUUACGUCCNUGCCCUUUGUACACACCGCCCGUNGCUACUACCGAUUGAAUGGUUCAGUAGGCGUUNGGACUGGCCUAAGGAGGUCGGCAANGACCACCUAGGGCCGGAAAGUUCUCCAAACUCGAUCAUUUAGAGGAAGUAAAAGUCGUAACAAGGUNUCCGUUGGUGAACCAGCGGAGGGAUCAUU